UACGGAGGGUGCAAGCGUUAUCCGGAUUCACUGGGUUUAAAGGGUGCGUAGGUGGGCUGAUAAGUCAGCGGUGAAAUCUCCGGGCUUAACCUGGAAACUGCCAUUGAUACUAUCAGUCUUGAAUCUCGCGUAGGUAAGCGGAAUAUGUCAUGUAGCGGUGAAAUGCUUAGAUAUGACAUAGAACACCAAUUGCGAAGGCAGCUUACUUCACGAGUAUUGACACUGAGGCACGAAAGCGUGGGGAG
This 245-nucleotide ribosomal RNA is filed under the name uncultured Ferruginibacter sp. Its description in RNAcentral is "partial 16S ribosomal RNA". It matches the Rfam family "Bacterial small subunit ribosomal RNA", at positions 524 to 768 of the family's 1533-position model. The record is from RNAcentral. Lineage: Bacteria; Pseudomonadati; Bacteroidota; Chitinophagia; Chitinophagales; Chitinophagaceae.